Molecule: ribosomal RNA, 465 nt
Filed under: Vreelandella stevensii
Lineage: Bacteria; Pseudomonadati; Pseudomonadota; Gammaproteobacteria; Oceanospirillales; Halomonadaceae
Description: partial 16S ribosomal RNA
Rfam family: Bacterial small subunit ribosomal RNA
Source: RNAcentral
CCUACGGGAGGCAGCAGUGGGGAAUAUUUGACAAUGGGCGAAAGCCUGAUCCAGCCAUGCCGCGUGUGUGAAGAAGGCCUUCGGGUUGUAAAGCACUUUCAGUGGGGAAGAAAGCCUUGGGGCUAAUACCCUCGAGGAAGGACAUCACCCACAGAAGAAGCACCGGCUAACUACGUGCCAGCAGCCGCGGUAAUACGGAGGGUGCGAGCGUUAAUCGGAAUUACUGGGCGUAAAGCGCGCGUAGGCGGUCUGAUAAGCCGGGUGUGAAAGCCCCGGGCUCAACCUGGGAACGGCAUCCGGAACUGUCAGGCUAGAGUGCAGGAGAGGAAGGUAGAAUUCCCGGUGUAGCGGUGAAAUGCGUAGAGAUCGGGAGGAAUACCAGUGGCGAAGGCGGCCUUCUGGACUGACACUGACGCUGAGGUGCGAAAGCGUGGGUAGCAAACAGGAUUAGAUACCCUGGUAGUC